RNAcentral lists this long non-coding RNA (628 nucleotides) under Manihot esculenta (cassava). RNAcentral describes it as "long non-coding RNA (MESC_LNC010093)". The record is from RNAcentral. Lineage: Eukaryota; Viridiplantae; Streptophyta; Magnoliopsida; Malpighiales; Euphorbiaceae.
GAAUGUGCCCCCGAAGGAGGGACUUUCGUUUCUGUCCUAGGGUUUCGGCCGCCGAACCUGCCGCCGAACCUACCCGAGUUUCGUCUCUGGAAGGGACUUUCGGCCGCCGAAGGUGCCGCCGAAAGUGCCCUGUCCAGCCGUUUCUUGGGUGUUUUCCAUGCAUGUUUAAGUGAUGUUUAGAGGGGUUUUAGGGGGUAUGUUUAUGAGUUGUUAGAAUGUGUUUGGCACCUCAUUCGAGUCCACCUGUGUAGGAUCGGACCCGAGGGACCGAGGAGGCCAUCAGGGUUAGCAGUUGCAGAGUCAGUCAGCGUCUGCCAGGAGGUGAGUAGAACUAAACUUAAUCUUUUAUGCACAAAUCUAAUGCCUAAAGCAUGUUCAUGCAUCAUGAUUAUGUAUAGUAGGUUGAUUGCACUAGUUCACGAAUAUGUUGCAUUGCAUUAUUUCAUGUUGAUGCUGAGGUAGGGUGGACCGAGGCGACUUCAAUAGCCCAUAUCUGUCACGAGUCUUGUCUUUGUCCUUUGAGAGCCGGACAAGUACAUGUAGGAAAGUCCAUGUGAGCUCUCUGUGGACCAGACACCAUGUCAUGUAUGUUACAGGCCUUUGUGAGCUCCUAUGGGGGAGCCGGGCA